This 1401-nucleotide ribosomal RNA is filed under the name Vibrio aestuarianus. RNAcentral's name for it is "partial 23S ribosomal RNA". It matches the Rfam family "Bacterial large subunit ribosomal RNA", at positions 1 to 1454 of the family's 2925-position model. The record is from RNAcentral. Lineage: Bacteria; Pseudomonadati; Pseudomonadota; Gammaproteobacteria; Vibrionales; Vibrionaceae.
GGUUAAGUGACUAAGCGUACACGGUGGAUGCCUUGGCAGUCAGAGGCGAUGAAGGACGUAUUAACUUGCGAUAAGCGUAGAUUAGGCAGUAAAAGCCACUUGAGUCUACGAUUUCCGAAUGGGGAAACCCACUAGCAUAAGCUAGUAUCGCUGCGUGAAUACAUAGCGCAGCGAGGCGAACUCGGGGAACUGAAACAUCUAAGUACCCGAAGGAAAAGAAAUCAACUGAGAUUCCGAAAGUAGCGGCGAGCGAAAUUGGACUAGCCCUUAAGCUUUAAAUGAUGCAGGUGAACACGCUGGAAAGCGUGGCAAUAAAGGGUGAUAGCCCCGUAACCGACACAUCAUUCUAAGUGAAAACGAGUAAGGCGGGACACGUGAUAUCCUGUUUGAAUAUGGGGGGACCAUCCUCCAAGGCUAAAUACUACUGACUGACCGAUAGUGAACCAGUACCGUGAGGGAAAGGCGAAAAGAACCCCUGUGAGGGGAGUGAAAUAGAACCUGAAACCGUGUACGUACAAGCAGUAGGAGCAAGGCAAUGCCUUGUGACUGCGUACCUUUUGUAUAAUGGGUCAGCGACUUAUAUUCAGUGGCAAGGUUAACCGUAUAGGGGAGCCGUAGGGAAACCGAGUCUUAACUGGGCGCUUUAGUCUCUGGAUAUAGACCCGAAACCGAGUGAUCUAGCCAUGGGCAGGUUGAAGAUUGAGUAACAUCAAUUGGAGGACCGAACCGACUAAUGUUGAAAAAUUAGCGGAUGACUUGUGGCUAGGGGUGAAAGGCCAAUCAAACUCGGAGAUAGCUGGUUCUCCCCGAAAGCUAUUUAGGUAGCGCCUCGGACGAAUACUACUGGGGGUAGAGCACUGUUAAGGCUAGGGGGUCAUCCCGACUUACCAACCCUUUGCAAACUCCGAAUACCAGUAAGUACUAUCCGGGAGACACACGGCGGGUGCUAACGUCCGUCGUGGAGAGGGAAACAACCCAGACCGCCAGCUAAGGUCCCAAAUUACUACUAAGUGGGAAACGAUGUGGGAAGGCUCAGACAGCCAGGAUGUUGGCUUAGAAGCAGCCAUCAUUUAAAGAAAGCGUAAUAGCUCACUGGUCGAGUCGGCCUGCGCGGAAGAUGUAACGGGGCUAAGUAGUAAACCGAAGCUGCGGCUGCAAUCGCAAGAUUGUGGGGUAGGGGAGCGUUCUGUAAGCCGUUGAAGGUGUGUUGUAAAGCAUGCUGGAGGUAUCAGAAGUGCGAAUGCUGACAUGAGUAACGAUAAUGGGGGUGAAAAACCCCCACGCCGGAAGACCAAGGGUUCCUGUCCAACGUUAAUCGGGGCAGGGUAAGUCGACCCCUAAGGCGAGGCUGAAAAGCGUAGUCGAUGGGAAACGGGUUAAUAUUCCCGUACUGCUUAUAAU